AUGGCUCAUGAAAUCAGUUAUCGUUUAUUUGAUAGUACCUUACUACUUGGAUAACCGUGGUAAUUCUAGAGCUAAUACAUGCUAAAAACCCCGACUUUGGGAGGGGUGUAUUUAUUAGAUAAAAAACCAAUGCCCUCCGGGGCUCUUUGGUGAUUCAUGAUAACUUCUCAGAUCGCAUGGCCUUGCGCCGGCGACGGUUCAUUCAAAUUUCUGCCCUAUCAACUUUCGAUGGUAAGGUAUUGGCUUACCAUGGUUUCAACGGGUAACGGGGAAUUAGGGUUCGAUUCCGGAGAGGGAGCCUGAGAAACGGCUACCACAUCCAAGGAAGGCAGCAGGCGCGCAAAUUACCCAAUCCCGACUCGGGGAGGUAGUGACAAUAAAUACUGAUACAGGGCUCUUUUGGGUCUUGUAAUUGGAAUGAGUACAAUUUAAACCUCUUAACGAGGAACAAUUGGAGGGCAAGUCUGGUGCCAGCAGCCGCGGUAAUUCCAGCUCCAAUAGCGUAUAUUAAAGUUGUUGCAGUUAAAAAGCUCGUAGUUGAACCUUUGGCCUGGCUGGCAGGUCCGCCUCACCGCGUGCACUUGACUGGCCGGGCCUUCUUUUCUGGAGAACCGCAUGCCCUUCACUGGGUGUGUUGGGGACCAGGACUUUUACUUUGAAAAAAUUAGAGUGUUCAAAGCAGGCCUUUGCUCGAAUACGUUAGCAUGGAAUAAUAGAAUAGGACGCGCGGUCCUAUUUUGUUGGUUUCUAGGACCGCCGUAAUGAUUAAUAGGGACAGUCGGGGGCAUCAGUAUUCAAUUGUCAGAGGUGAAAUUCUUGGAUUUAUUGAAGACUAACUACUGCGAAAGCAUUUGCCAAGGAUGUUUUCAUUAAUCAGUGAACGAAAGUUAGGGGAUCGAAGACGAUCAGAUACCGUCGUAGUCUUAACCAUAAACUAUGCCGACUAGGGAUCGGGCGGUGUUUCUAUUUUGACUCGCUCGGCACCUUACGAGAAAUCAAAGUGUUUGGGUUCUG
Molecule: ribosomal RNA, 1014 nt
Filed under: Magnicamarosporium diospyricola
Lineage: Eukaryota; Fungi; Ascomycota; Dothideomycetes; Pleosporales; Sulcatisporaceae
Description: SSU rRNA
Rfam family: Eukaryotic small subunit ribosomal RNA
Source: RNAcentral